AACACUCCUGGGUUUGGCAGUACCACCAAUAGGUAUCAUAUUGAGCACCACUAUCAAGAGAGUCACCUCCAGAUUAAUCCUCAUGCUAUAGUGGCCAUUGGACCUGACAUUGACUAUACCACACCUCAUGAUCGUGCCACAAAGUUCAAUUGAGCCGAUCCAUCAAACUAUAUAGAGCAUUCUUAAAGUAGUAGGCUUUAUUCAAACUAACUUGUGUAGUUUUAGUAGUUUUUUUUCAGUUUUUUCAUGAUAGAGUUUUAAGGAA
This is a long non-coding RNA of Amphimedon queenslandica, 265 nucleotides long. RefSeq lists it as uncharacterized. The transcript has 2 exons. Lineage: Eukaryota; Metazoa; Porifera; Demospongiae; Haplosclerida; Niphatidae. The record is from RefSeq and is a predicted model, not a curated record.